CCGACAUUCCGAAUACAACAAGCUGCUCAUUCCCAGGCCCAGUUCGGUUAUGCUCAGGAAGCUGUCGGUGGGGCUUUGAAUCUUCGCUUGAGCUGGUCUCCCUCCCCCUCUCCUGUCACAGCCCAGGCCCUAACACACAGAAGAAUCAACAAUAUGUAACGCCCACGCUGUGAGACCCUGCGCAGUGGUGUAUCCUCCAGCUCAGAGAGUGCUCUGUCCAGCUGGUGGACUACAGAUAAUUAAG
Molecule: long non-coding RNA, 244 nt
Organism: Conger conger (European conger)
Lineage: Eukaryota; Metazoa; Chordata; Actinopteri; Anguilliformes; Congridae
Exons: 3
Source: RefSeq, a predicted model, not a curated record